Long non-coding RNA from Anguilla rostrata (American eel), 2307 nucleotides. RefSeq lists it as uncharacterized. The record is from RefSeq and is a predicted model, not a curated record. NCBI's taxonomy places the organism in Eukaryota, Metazoa, Chordata, Actinopteri, Anguilliformes, Anguillidae. The transcript is spliced from 3 exons.
AAUCUGAGUUUACCUUAAACAAAUAUAAAAACAUUUUCAUUAUUCACAAUGCCGUCGGUUUUUUUGCCCCAAAAAUGCUUGUGGCUCAUGCCUGUGAGCUUGAGGAUAUCCUCUGAACCUCUCCAACAGACACCAGGGGGUUACCGAGUUAACUUGAUAACUGCACUGAGUAAAACCCACAACCCUCCCAAAUGUGAAGCUUGGACUGACAUAAAGAAAGCUGUUCUAAACCAACCCAGCAAUCCUGCUUUGUGAAAUAUACCUCAAAGGUGUAUUUUCAAAGGCAAAUUAGUCACCAGUGUGCGUGGACAUGGGCUAGGGUGUGCUUUGUGGAUGGCGGGCACUCUCGUGCCACGCCGAAUCAGGUCAGGUGAAUGACGGUUAUCAUGGCAAGCUUGCCUGUCAGAUCCCAUUUGCUGGGUAUGCUAGUGAAUGUGACUGUGGGGGGGGUGGGGGGUGGAGGGGGGGACCAGGAGGGCCUCACUGUAGACUGCAGUCUAAGCAGCCCUCUGGCAGAGUCUAUGUGUCCGUGUCCCCAGAGAUCACGCCAGCACACAUCUUGCAGCGACAUCUCUGCCUCCAAACUGACAGUUGUAUUUUGUGGGCCCCGUCAUCUGUGAUUUUCGCUGGUCGGCGGUGAAGGUGACUGAUGAUAUUUAGGAAACGUGACAACUGGCAGUGUGCAGGGAGGCAGAAACGUUGCUGCGUGCGGUUGGGUUUCCUCCUUGCAAGACGGAAGACCUUCAGUUGAAUAUGUAGGAUGCUUGAAGAGCUCACGUACGUUUAGCACGGUGGGCUGCCAACCCAUCCGUUUGUGGUCGCGGAGGCAGGCUAUGUCAUGAAGCAAGACGCAGGCUGGGCCCCACGUUGCUAGUCAGUCACAGCCCACCGUCUACAAAUGAGAAAAUAAAACUGAUUUCUGAUAACUGUAUACGGCCCGCGUGACCAGACUCUGUCCUGUCAUACAUUAGGCUGAGACUGAGACAAUUUAAUUCCUCCCAUCAUCUCAUUGGCUGAGGUGCGCUCCUAAAACCUUCUGCGGGUAGUUAGUUAAUUUCUCCUCAGAUUACAUAAUGAUGCAUUACGCUUAAACGCCGCCAAAUGGAAGGGGUGGAACUGCUUUGCGAUCUACUGAGCGUUUAGCGCAGAACAGCAACUGCUGAACGAGGAAAUGCCUGGCUGAUAAUAAAUGCAGUGCUGCCGCUAAGCAUGAGAGUGGCGUUAAGCAUGUGAUGCUACAUCUCUGCUGAGAAAACGCUCAACUGAGAAAAGCAUCACAGCUCAGCGGUUAAGAAAAACACAUGCAAUGCUGUGGUAUUUCAAAAAUGCACUUUUUUGACAAUGAUUCUUUACACAGAGUGCAUUAAAAUAAAAUGGAAUACAUACACAAACGUACACUUGGCUAUACAUAUGUAUCUGACGUCAUGAGAUCAGUUGCAAAAACUCACACGUGCACUCAUCAAGCAAACACCACUUCAUCUCGCGCAUCAACUUAAAUCGUCGUGGUGUCGUCCAAUGGCUGCAGGUAGUGUUAGGUGAGAUGGACAGCGUUUGAUACAAGGGAUGCAAGAUCCAUAUCAUCUUCCAACACAUUCAGAGAUAGUUCGUACCAGCUACGAACCGACCAGUUGACAGGCCUUCAUCAGAUAAGACUCGCUUCGUGACGCGCGUAACGCUUGAAUCCUGAGAGAGACACGCCGCUGCGCUCGGCGCCCGUUGGCAUGGCGAUAAGGACACGCGCUAUCCGCCCUGCCUCGGCCCCGCCCCUCCCGCUGGGCUGGGCCGUGCGGAAGCCCCACCGCGGGAGCAGCCUGGCGUCUCUCCGCAGGAAGUUUCCCCGCAGCCACUUCCUCUUUCUCCUUUCCCUGAGUCCGCCGUGACACCAGGGCCCAGUUUUGCCAAGCAGGAUCUCUGAGUCAGCUGGAUGACUGCGCUGAGUAAAACCCGGACACCCUCCCGAAUCGGGAACACGGAGUGAAGUAAAGAGCCGUCCCGGGUUUUACCCAGCGCACCGAUCCAGCUGACUCUGUAAUCCUGCUUCCUGAAAUACCCCCCAGGGCCGUGCCGGAAUCAGCGUCUGGCCUCUACUGCAUCCUCAAAAUAUGUGCUGUCUGGUAAACAUACUGCGUACUGUCUAGUACAUACGUUUUAGUACGCGAUGGGCAGUAAAAAAAAUGUCUUACAUAUUACUUUCCAGCUGUACAUAUAUAUGUCUUAUAUGGCUUAUGCCAUUCAUUUAAAGGGCAGUUUUAUGCUGGACACACUCUGUCUGUCUUUGGGGUUGCUCUGUCCUAACAGUGGGGGGCU